CAGGGGUGGGAAAGGCAUAGUAGGGUUUAGGAAGUUUUUGGAAUGAGCGUGUUGGAAAAGAAAAGACUCAACAACCCAUGUUUCUUUGCCAACCCCGCCCAUUCCAAAUAUUUUCUAAGCCUACUGCCUUUCCCUUUCUCUC
This 142-nucleotide microRNA precursor is filed under the name Prunus dulcis (almond). Its description in RNAcentral is "sRNA ncRNA". The record is from RNAcentral. Lineage: Eukaryota; Viridiplantae; Streptophyta; Magnoliopsida; Rosales; Rosaceae.